Molecule: ribosomal RNA, 406 nt
Filed under: uncultured bacterium
Lineage: Bacteria
Description: bacterial SSU rRNA
Rfam family: Bacterial small subunit ribosomal RNA
Source: RNAcentral
GGACCCGCACAAGCGGUGGAUUAUGUGGAUUAAUUCGAUGCAACGCGAAAAACCUUACCUACCCUUGACAUGCUAGGAAGUCCGCAGAGAUGCGGAUGUGCCCGAAAGGGAACCUAGACACAGGUGCUGCAUGGCUGUCGUCAGCUCGUGUCGUGAGAUGUUGGGUUAAGUCCCGCAACGAGCGCAACCCUUGCCCAUUAGUUGCGACAUUUAGUUGAGCACUCUAAUGGGACCGCCGGUGACAAACCGGAGGAAGGUGGGGAUGACGUCAAGUCCUCAUGGCCCUUAUGGGUAGGGCUUCACACGUAAUACAAUGGUCGGUACAGAGGGCUGCCAACCCGCGAGGGGGAGCUAAUCCCAGAAAGCCGAUCGUAGUCCGGAUUGUAGUCUGCAACUCGACUGCAUG